This 28088-nucleotide long non-coding RNA is filed under the name Triticum aestivum (bread wheat). Its description in RNAcentral is "long non-coding RNA (TAES_LNC018811)". The record is from RNAcentral. Lineage: Eukaryota; Viridiplantae; Streptophyta; Magnoliopsida; Poales; Poaceae.
GCAAUUACAGCCGUUCAACAUUAUACGAUCCCAUGAUCCACAGGCUAUUCAGCUCCUUAUUUUGCAGGUUGCUUGGCAUUAAACCUGGCCCCACCUCUUGAAGCACUCAACUUUACAAUCCGCAACGCCUUCCGCAUCUGCAAAAUGGCCAACGUGAGCACAAGAUCAUCAGCUAGAACAGACGAUUCUUCUUUUUUUGCAUUGUUAAUAAGAAUGCCUGUGAGAUGUUUCUGAUUUCCUACUCCAUGAACCCCUCGUAUGCCCACUGAUAUUAUGGCCUCUAUUAGUAUCAGAUAUAGCCAAUAACUGAUAUUCUAGCCUCUGUUUGUGAUGUUGGUUUCGUCUAAUAAUGCUGUGAUGAUUCAAAUUUGCCGAUCUCCAUGUUGGAUGAAUGGCAACUACAUUCACUCGAGGGCCAAAGGCCAAUACAUAUACAUGUGUAGGGUAAAGUGCAAGGGACCCCUUAUACAAUGGGGAUAAACCGAAAAGGGCUAUACACAUCUAACACCCCCCUCAAACUCAUGGUGGAUCAACAACACUGAGUUUAGAGAGAAGAAAACUAUGAUGCGCGCGAGUCUGAGCCUUCGUGAAAAAGUCCGCCAACUGUAACUCACAGGGCACAUAGUGAAGAGCAAGUGUCUGAUCUUGCACAGCGGCACGCACAAAGUGGGCAUCCACACCGAUGUGCUUGGUGAGCUCAUGCUUCACCGGGUCACGCGCAAUACUGAUAGCGCCAGUACUGUCUGACAAUAAGGGAGUCGAGGUAGUAGCAGACACACCAAAAUCCUCAAGGAUCCACCGUAACCAGAUCACUUCAGCCGUCAGCAUGGCCAUGGCUCGCAACUCAGACUCUAUACUCGAGCGAGAAACUGCAGUCUGUUUCUUGGUCUUCCAGGCAAUAAGAGAGCCACCAAGAAAGACACAAUAAGCAGAUGGCGAGCGUCGAUCAGAGGGAUCACUAGCCCAGGUAGCAUCUGAGUAGGCCUGGAGCUCAAGAGAGCUGGAGCGGGGAAAGAAAAGGCGCUGAGAGAUCGUGCCACGAAGAUAUCGUAGAACACGGAGGAGAUGACUAUAGUGGACAGAGGUGGGGGCUGAAACGAACUGACUCAGAAUGUGGACGGGAUAGGAGAUGUCAGGACGCGUAACAGCAAGAUAGACAAGACUGCCAACAAGGUGACGAUAGCGAGUGGGAUUAGGAAGAGGGUCACCAUCAGAGGCACGAAGCUGAACAUUGAGCUCCAUGGGAGUCACAACGGUGCGCUCAUCACCGAGAGCAGCACGAGCAAGGAGAUCCUGAAUAUAUUUUUCUUGGGAGAUGUAGAAGCCAUCAGAGGUCGAGGAGAUCUCAAUCCCAAGAAAAUAGCGAAGUGGACCAAGAUCAGUCAUGAGAAACUGGUCGCGAAGGCGAGCCUUAACAAAGGCAAUAUAAUCAGAGUCGUCACCAGUGAUGAUCAUGUCAUCAACAUAGAGAAGGAGAAGAGUCCGGCCAUGAGGAGAUGUGUGAACAAACAACGCGGGAACAUGAUCACUGGGCAAGAAACUAGCGGUGAUCACCACAGAGGCGAAGCGCUCAAACCAGGCGCGAGGGGCCUGUUUGAGACCAUAUAGGGAGCGGCGAAGUCUACAGACCAUACCAUCAGGAGCAUAGUACCCCGGUGGUGGCUUCAUAUAAACCUCCUCACGCAACUCACCAUUGAGAAAAGCGUUCUGAACAUCAAGUUGAGAGAUAGACCACUGGCGGACAGAAGCCACAGCAAGAAGAGUGCGGACAAUGGUCAUGUGGGCCACAGGAGCAAAUGUCUCACCAUAGUCGCGCCCCUGCUCCUGCUGAAAACCAUGGGCCACAAGACGAGCUUUGUAGCGCUUAAGAGAACCAUCGGAGCGAGUCUUAAGCUUGUAGACCCACUUGCAGGUGAUGGGACAGACACCGGAAGGGAGGGGAACCAGAUCCCAUGUGCCAGAACGCUCAAGGGCAGCAAGCUCUUCGGCCAUCGCAAGUUUCCAUUCAGGCUGAGUCAUGGCAGUGCGAUAGGAAGUGGGCUCAGUCAGAACAGAGAGACCGUACCGAUCAGGGGAGUAGCGAUCAGGCGGGGGGCGAGGCCGAGCAUGGAGGUUAUGAACCGGGGAGGCGUGGGAGGAGGUGCACCAGAGGUGGAAGGCUCGUCAGAGGAGACAUCCUCAGUACGAGAUCGACGAGUAUAGUGGAGAGGAAAUGGGGAGAGAGGCCAACGGAUUGGAGAAGAUGGGGGAGAGGUGGAGGAGGAGGAUGGAGGAGAUGGAGAAGACGGGGUCGGUGAUGAAUGAGAAGGAAUGAGAGGUGCCGGAGGAAGAGGUGACACAUGAGGCACAUAACAGGGUGUAUCGGGAAGAAGAAGGAAAGAAAGAUCGUCCACAGAAAAACGCGAGGAAGAAGAACGGGGAUAGUAAGAGCAAGACUCGUCAAAGGUCACAUCACGCGAGAUGCGCAAGCGACGACCCACUGGAUCCCAACAUCGAUAGCCCUUGUGCUCAUUACUGUAGCCAAGGAAAACACACUCAACUGACUGAGCAGUCAGUUUGGUGCGUUCUCGGGGGGCAAGAAGAACAUAGCAGACGCAUCCAAACAUACGAAGAGCUGAGUAGUCAGGAGAGCGACCAGUGAGACACUCCAUAGGAAUGCCACCCUGCAGAGCAGUCGAUGGCUGAAUGUUGAUGAGAUAGGUGGAUGCGGAAACAGUCUCAGCCUAAAAAUGGGGUGGAAGGGAAGCAGCAAUCAUCAACGCACGAGCCGUCUCAAGCAAAUGACGAUGCUUUCGCUCGGCAACGCCAUUCUGAGCAUGAGCACCAGGACAGGAGAACUGGGCAAGAGUACCCUGUUCCGCGAGGAAACCACGCAACAACUGAGAGAUAUACUCUCCAGCGGAGUCAGCAUGAAAAUUACGAAUGGGCGUGGCAAACUGGGUGUGAACCAUAGCAGCAAAAUGUUUGUAUAUAGGGAGAACCUCGCUACGAGAUUUCAUGAAGUAGAGCCAAGUGUAGCGAGAGAAAUCAUCAAUAAACAAAACAUAGUAGUGAUGACCACCUUUCGAAUCAAAGGGAGCGGGACCCCAGACAUCAGAAUGAACUAAGUCAAAAGGACGCUGAGAUACAGACUCACUAGUAGGAUAAGGUAACCGGGUCUGUUUUCCAAGUCUGCAACCAUUACAAUGUAAGGAGACAUCUCCACAUACAGACCCUAAGAGGCCCUGACGAACUAAGGAAGACAAGCGAGAGCCACAGAUGUGACCAAGUCGAUGAUGGCACUGCUGGAAGGACGCAGACGAAGAGGCAGCAAGAGCAUGAGAGCUGGCAGAAGUGGUGGCAGCGGAAGGAACACAAAGCCAGCCAACCUCCCAAAGGCCCUCUGACUCACGGCGCCGGGGGCCAGCACCAACCAAAGCCUUGGUGCGACGAUCCUGAAUGGAGCAAGAGUCGAUAUCAAGAAUGACAUGACAACCAGAAUCAGUAAGUUGGGCAGCGGAAAAAAGAUUCAUGGUAAGGCGAGGAACAUGUGAAACACUUGGAACAGAAAAAGAAGGAGUGGAAAGAAUACCACGACUAGCAACAGGAAGAGAUGUGCCAUCGGCAGUAAGAACAUUAACAGGCGAAUUAAGAGGCCGAAGAGAAGACAAGGCGAAAGAAUCAGAAGACAUAUGAAAGGAGGCUCCAGAAUCCAGAACCCACGAAGAUGUACCUGACUGUGUAGAUGCCUCUGAUGGUGAGGAGGAAGGGGCAGUCACAUCAGCAGCAGAGCCAGUCGACGAGGAGCCUGAGGAAGCCAGAAGACGCUUGAGGCGAACAAUGUCCUGGUCAGUGAGUGAUGGAGUCGAGGAUGACAUAGGAGGCCUGCUGGAGGUGGAGCGCCUCUGGUCUCGCUUCUUCUGGCGACAGUCAGACUCUGGGUGACCCGGCCGGGAGCAAUAACCACAGACGGUGUCAUGGCGCGACGUGCCCUUCUCAGCAUAAGGAGGACGGCUGACCCCCCCCUGGAGGAGUAGGCAGGAGUGGUGGAGCGGUGAGGCGAGCAGAUGACACAGGAGCUCGGACGGCUAGCACUGACGGAACCAGAAGCAACCCAGUAGAGCGAAGACGAGUCUCCUCAGCACGGAGCUCGGCAAGUACCUCCGAGAUAGGAACACGACCACGAGCAAGCAAGUGAGCACGUCGAGGCUCAAACUCAGACCGGAGACGAGAUAAGAACUCAUGAACCCGCUGAAACUCCAGAUCAGACCGAGUAGUCUGACAACAACGACAUGUUCCACAAACAACUGUCCGAAGAGAGUCAAGCUGGCGCCAGAUGGCAGAGCACUGUGAAUAGAACUCAUCAACAGAAGAAUCACCUUGCUGAAGUGCAUGCUCCUGAUGCACCACAGAUAGGUAAAGAGCAUCACCAGAGGGCUGAUAGCGCUGACACAGAUAAGACCACAUCGCUGCAACUGUGCUAAGUCCCAUGAACUCCGAAGCAAACUGAGGGAGAACACUCGCAGUGAGAACAGCAGCCGCUCGAGCAUCAUCAUUGCAACACUGAGUGUAAGCAGACAGAUCAUCCCGGUAGACAGUAAGAGCAUCAGAAUAGGCAGAUACCUGCUGAUCAUAAGUAGCAACUAUAGCAUCAUCAAGAGUCUUGGCUGCAUCACGAUCAGCCUGAGAAGUAUCAGGAGCAAUCACCGGCGGUGCUGGCGGAACAGGCGCCACCGGAGCAACAGGACACGGCGGACAUGGUACCUCGCCAGAAAGAACACCCCACAGCAGAAGGCCGCGCAUAUGAAUACGCAUGAAACCGGCAAACUCAGCAUAGUUGGUGCCAUCAAAGAUCACCGAGCAGCGAGGAACAGCCACAUAGCCCGAAGAUGACAUACUGAGGUAUCCCUUUGUGUUGUUUCUGCCCUUUUUUUGAAGUCAACAUGUACAGGAAAACCCAAUCUGGAUCGAGAGAAACACGAGCGCUCGCUCACGCCCUCGCUCGGGCAAUCGAGGCGAGCAGGGCCAGUGGCUUGAGCUCGAGCAAAGCGGGCGGGUUGGGGACCCCCGCUCGAAGCAGAGCAGUCGGGUGGGGAACCUCCGCUCGAAGCAGAGCAGCAGCCGAGCAGGCCCGAUGGGACAGCACCCAGACGGAGAACUCAAGCGGCGGCCUGCCUCAAGCCAAGCGGAGCAGGGGAGCACCAGCGGCCCGGCGGUAGGAGGCGCGGCAGCAGGGUGGAGCAGACCGGGGCGGACAGAGCCGCGGCGAGGAGGUCCAGGGCGGCCUGAUUCGUCGGGAGGAGAGCCAGGACGGUCAGAGCCGCAGCGAGAAGGUCCGGGGCGGCCGGUUUCUCGGAGAGGAGAGCCGGGACGGCCGGAUCCACGACAAGAAGAGCCGGACCUGGCUGUGGGCGAAUCGGGGGAGGAGCUAGCACGGAGUUGCAGCGUGCGGGAGAGAAGGGAACCUAACAUCUGAUACCAUGUUGGAUGAAUGGCAACUACAUUCACUGGAGGGCCAAAGGCCAAUACAUAUACAUGUGUAGGGUAAAGUGCAAGGGCCCCUUAUACAAUGGGGAUAAACCGAAAAGGGCUAUACACAUCUAACACUCCACAACAGUGAAACUAAUUUUUAUUGCUCGAGUCAUACAAAGUCGCAGAUAUCAAUUUGAUGGCUUUUCCAUGUCCUGCAGGUAUCAGAGUUACGUUUUGGUGGCUGAGAUGCAGAAGUGGCUCGUUUGAUGCGAUGCACACGGAAAUUUACCUUUAUGUAGGAUGCAGUGGUCAGCUGUGAAGUGGACUCGUAGGAAUUAAUCACUUAUUUGCUCAAACCCGUCUUGUUAUCAAACACAGUCAAUUGACCAACUGACAUGGAGACAUAAGAAUUGCUUGUAUUAAUCAGUACCUUUCAGUUGAUCUUUGUUUGCAUGCAUUCUGUGUGUGUGUGUGUGUGUGCAUAUUUUUAUUGUUUUGUUUUGCUUGCUGUUCCAUGUUGUCUCUGACGGAGAGAAUUCCGCAUCAAAUUUAAUUUCUGCUCCUGUCCCAUUUUGCGUGUUUGUUUUGUAUCUGGUUCUGACUGAUCAAUGUUGAGUUGCUUGCUUUCGCUGGAUUCAGGAAGGUUUCUGUGAGAUUGCUAAUGUUUUAACCUGUUAUGAUAUAAACAUGCCACUUUGAGAUUUGCAAAACUUAACACAAGUGAUGCGCCGACGCGCGGAAACACAUGUUGCUUCUCACGCACCUGCUGUUGUUGCUGCUGCCGAGGGCGUCCUCUGAAGCCGCCGCUGCCAUUAGAGGGAGAGGGCUGCCGGUCACCGCGGUCACCACUACGGUCGCGCCCCCUUCGUCCUCGCCCGUGAUAGGAUCUGUCACGGGAUGAGCCACGGCCUCUAUAGACUGCAUUAGCGGAUGUAUGAAACCCGCCUGAAGAAGAGUCGCCCAACAUCUCCAUCCUUUGAUCAAAGGCAGAGAUCUGAGCAAAAAGAUCAUCGGCGGUGAUGCUGUUCUUGACAGCGCCGAUCGCCGCCACCACGGAGUCGUAGUCGCGGUCCAGACCUGCAAGUAUCACUAGUAGAAAAGGGGGCAAUGGUCCAGGCCGGGUAAGCCCAUUAGUCCCGGUUCAAUCCAGAAACGGGACCAAUGGGGGCAUUGGACCUGGUUUGUGAGCCCCGAGGGCCGGCCGGGCCACGUGGGCCAUUGGUCCCGGUUCGACUGGACCUAUUGGUCCCGGUUGGUGGGACGAACCGGGACCAAUGGGCCUCGCUCCUGGCCCACCACCAUUGGUCCCGGUUGGUGGUGUGAACCGGGACCAAAGGCCACCCAAUAGUCCCGGUUCGUGGCACGAACCGGGACCAAUUAGUUGCCUAUAUAUACCCCUCGCUCGCGAGCAGAGCACUCUGAGUGCUCUGUUUUUCGUGGCCGGCGAGGGGAGAGCAUUGUGGUGCUCUAGCUCACCUCCUAUGUGUUGGGGAACGUAGCAGAAAUUCAAAAUUUUCCUAUGUGUCACCAAGAUCUAUCUAUGGAGAAACCAGCAACGAGGGGAAGGAGAGUGCAUCUACAUACCCUUGUAGAUCGCUAAGCGGAAGCGUUCAAGAGAACGGGGUUGAAGGAGUCGCACUCGUCGUGAUCCAAAUCACCGGAGAUCCUAGUGCCGAACGGACAGCACCUCCGCGUUCAACACACGUACAGCCCGGUGACGUCUCCCAUGCCUUGAUCCAGCAAGGAGAGAGGGAGAGGUUGAGGAAGACUUCAUCCAGCAGCAGCACAACAGCGUGGUGGUGAUGGAGGAGCGUGGCAAUCCUGCAGGAUUUCGCCAAGCACCGCGGGAGAGGAGGAGUACUUGGGAGAGGGGGAGGGCUGCGCCAGAACUUGUGGUGCGGCUGCCCUCCCACCCCCCACAUAUAUAUAGGGGCAAAGGAGAGGGGGGCUGGCCCCCUCAGAUCCAAUCCGAGGAGGGGGCGGCGGCCAAGGGGGGGAGGAGUGCCUCCCAAGUCAAGUGGAGGCCCUCCCCCUUAGGGUUUUCCCCUUCCCAUGCGCAUGGGCCUUGGGGGGGCUGGUUCCCCUGGCCCAUUAAGGCUAGGGCGCCCCCUUACAGCCCAUGCUUCUGUAUUGGACGUGGUGGAACAAUUUCCGGACCUCCGGACCCCUCCGGAAUCCUCCGGAACCUUCUGGAAGCUUCCCGGUACAAUACCGGAAAAACCCGAACUUUUCCCGGAACCCGAACAACAACUUUCCAUAUAUAAAUCUUUACCUCCGGACCAUUCCGGAACUCCUGGUGACGUCCGGGAUCUCAUCCGGGACUCCGAACAACAUUCGGUAAUAACAUACAAACUUCCUUUAUAACCCUAGCGUCAUCGAACCUUAAGUGUGUAGACCCUACGGGUUCGGGAGACAUGUAGACAUGACCGAGACGUUCUCCGGUCAAUAACCAACAGCAGGAUCUGGAUACCCAUGUUGGCUCCCACAUGUUCCACGAUGAUCUCGUCGGAUGAACCACGAUGUCAAGGACUCAAUCGAUCCCGUAUACAAUUCCCUUUGUCUAACGGUAUUGUACUUGCCCGAGAUUCGAUCGUCGGUAUGCCGAUACCUAGUUCAAUCUCGUUACCGGCAAGUCUCUUUACUCGUUCCGUAAUACAUCAUCCCAUGAUCAACCCUUUGAUCACAUUGUGCACAUUAUGAUGAUGUCCUACCGAGUGGGCCCAGAGAUACCUCUCCGUUUACAUGGAGUGACAAAUCCCAAUCUCGAUUCGUGCCAACCCAACAGACACUUUUGGAGAUACCUGUAGUGCACCUUUAUAGCCACCCAGUUACGUUGUGACGUUUGGUACACCCAAAGCGUUCCUAUAGUAUCCGGGAGUUGCACAAUCUCGUGGUCUAAGGAAAUGAUACUUGACAUUAGAAAAGCUUUAGCAUACGAACUACGAUCUUUGUGCUAGGCUUAGGAUUGGGUCUUGUCCAUCACAUCAUUCUUCCAAUGAUGUGAUCCCGUUAUCAAUGACAUCCAAUGUCCAUGGUUAGGAAACCGUAACCAUCUAUUGAUCAACGAGCUAGUCAACUAGAGGCUUACUAGGGACAUGGUGUUGUCUAUGUAUCCACACAUGUAUCUGAGUUUCCUAUCAAUACAAUUAUAGCAUGGAUAAUAAACGAUUAUCAUGAACAAGGAAAUAUAAUAAUAACUAAUUUAUUAUUGCCUCUAGGGCAUAUUUCCAACAGUCUCCCACUUGCACUAGAGUCAAUAAUCUAGUUCACAUCGCCAUGUGAUUAACACUCACAGGUCACAUCGCCAUGUGACCAACAUCCAAAGAGUUUACUAGUGUCAUUAAACUAGUUCACAUCAUCAUGUGAUUAAGACUCAAUGAGUUCUGGGGUUUGAUCAUGUUUUGCUUGUGAGAGAGGUUUUAGUCAAUGGGUCUGCAACAAUCAGAUCUGUAUGUACUUCGCAAUUCUCUAUGUCAUAUUGUAAAUGCUGCUUCCACGCUCCACUUGAAGCUAUUCCAAAUGGUUGCUCCACUAUACGUAUCCGGUUUGCUACUCAGAGUCAUUCAGAUAGGUGUUAAAGCUUGCAUCGUCGUAACCCUUUACGCCGAACUCUUUAUCACCUCCAUAAUCGAGAAAUAAAUCCUUAUUACUCCAAGGACAAUUUUGACCGCUAUCUGGUGAUCCACUCCUUGAUCACCUUUGUACCCUCUUGCCAGACAUGUGGCAAGGCACAUAUCAUGUGCGGUAUAUAGCAUAGCAUACUGUAGAGCCUACGUCUAAAGCAUAGGGGACGACCUUCAUCCUUUCUCUCUUUUUUCUGCCGUGGUCGAGCUUUAAGUCUUAACUUCAUACCUUACAACUCAGCCAAGAACUCCUUUGACUGAUCCAUCUUGAACACUUUCAAGAUCAUGUCAAGGUAUGUGCUCAUUUUGAAAGUACCAUUAAGCAUUUUGAUCCAUCCUCAUAGAUCUUGAUGCUCAAUGUUCAAGUAGCUUAAUCCAGGUUUUCCCUUGAAAAACACUUUUCAAAUAACCCUAUAUGCUUUCCAGAAAUUCUACAUCAUUUCUGAUCAACAAUAUGUCAACAACAUAUACUCAUCAUAAAUUCUAUAGUGCUCCCACUCACUUCUUUGGAAAUACAAGUUUCUCAUAAACUUUGUAUAAACUCAAAAUCUUUGAUCAUCUCAUCAAAGCGUUCAUUCCAACUCCGAGAUGCUUACUCCAGUCCUUAGAAGGAUCGCUGGAGCUAGCAUACCUUUUAGCACCCUUAGGAUUGACAAAACCUUUCUGAUUGUAUCGCAUACAACCUUUCCUUACGAAAACUGGUAAGGAAACUAGUUUUGACAUCCAUCUGCCAGAUUUCAUAAAUGCAGCUAAUGCUAACAUGAUUCCGACGGACUUUAAGCAUCGCUACGGAUGAGAAAAUCUCAUCGUAGUCAACUCCUUGAACUUGUGAAAAACUCUUCGCCACAAGUCGAGCUUCAUAGAUGGUGACAUUACCGUCCACGUCCGUCUUCUUCUUAAAGAUCCAUUUAUCUCAAUGGCUUGCCGAUCAUCGGGCAAGUCCACCAAAGUUCAUGCUUUGUUCUGAUACAUGGAUCCUAUCUCGGAUUUCAUGGCUUCUAACCAUUUGUCGGAAUAUGGGCCCACCAUCGCUUCUCCAUAGCUCGUAGGUUCAUUGUUGUCUAGCAACAUGACCUUCAAGACAGGAUUACUGUACCACUCUGAAGUAGUAUGCAUCCUAGUCACCCUACGAGGUACGGUAGUGACUUGAUCCAAAACUUCAUGAUCACUAUCAUAAGCUUCUACUUCAAUUGGUGUAGGCGCCACAGGAACAACUUCCUGUGCCCUGCUACACACUUGUUGAAGUGACGGUUUAAUAACCUCAUCAAGUCUCCACCAUCCUCCCACUCAACUCUUUCGAGAGAAACUUUUCCUCGAGAAAGGACCCGUUUCUAGAAACAAUCCCUAUUGCUUUUAGAUCUCAAUUAGGAGGUAUACCCAACUGUUUUGGGUGUCCUAUGAAGAUGCAUUUUAUCCGCUUUGGGUUCGAGCUUAUCAACCUGAAACUUUUUCACAUAAGCAUUGCAGCCCCAAACUUUUAAGAAAUGACAACUUAGGUUUCUCCAAACCAUAGUUCAAACGGUGUCAUCUCAAUGGAAUUACAUGGUGCCCUAUUUGAAAGUGAAUGCGGUUGUCUCUAAUGCCUAACCCAUGAACGAUAGUGGUAAUUCGAUAAGAGACAUCAUGGUACGCACCAUAUCCAAUAGGGUGCAACUAUGAUGUUCGGACACACCAUCACACUAUGGUGUUCCAGGCGGUAUUAAUUGUGAAACAAUUUCCACAAUGUCUUAAUUGCGUGCCAAAGCUCGUAACUCAGAUACUCAUCUCUAUGAUCAUAUCAUAGACAUUUUAUCCUCUUAUCACGAUGAUCUUCAACUUCACUCUGAAAUUACUUGAACCAUUCAAUAAUUCAGACUUGUGUUUCAUCAAGUAAAUAUACUUAGUAUCUACUCAAAUCAUCCGUGAAGUAAGAACAUAACGAUAUCCACUGUGUGCCUUAGCACUCAUUGGACUGCACACAUCAAAAAUGUGUUACUUCCAACAAGUUGCUAUCUAGUUCCAUCUUACUGAAAACGAGGCUUUUCAGUCAUCUUGCCCAUGUGGUAAGAUUUGCAUAUCUCAAGUGAUUCAAAAUCAAGUGAGUCCAAACGAUCCAUCUGCAUGGAGUUUCUUCAUGCGUAUACACCAAUAGACAUGGUUCGCAUGUCUCAAACUUUUCAAAAACGAGUGAGUCCAAAGAUCCAUCAACAUGGAGCUUCUUCAUGCGUUUUUAUACCAAUAUGACUUACAUGGCAGUGCCACAAGUAAGUGGUACUAUCAUUACUAUCUUAUAUCUUUUGGCAUGAAAAUGUGUAUCACUACGAUCGAGAUUCAAUAAACCAUUCCUUUAGGUGCAAGACCAUUAAAGGUAUUGUUCAAAUAAAUAGAGUAACCAUUAUUCUCCUUAAAUGAAUAACCGUAUUGCGAUAGACAUAAUCCAAUCAUGUCUAUGCUCAACGCAAACACCAAAUGACAAUUAUUCAGGUUUAAUACUAAUCUUGAUGGUAGAGGGAGCGUGCGAUGUUUGAUCACAUCAAACUUGGAAAUACUUCCAACACACAUCGUCAGCUCACCUUUAGCUAGUCUCUGUUCGUAGCUUUUAUUUCGAGUUACUAACACUUAGCAACCGAACUGGUAUCUAAUACCCUGGUGCUACUAGGAGUACUAGUAAAGUACACAUUAACAUAAUGUAUAUCCAAUAUACUUCUAUCGACCUUGCCAGCCUUCUUAUCUACCAAGUAUCUAGGGUAAUUCUGCUUCAGUGGUUGUUCCCCUUAUUACAGAAGCACUUAGUCUCGGGUUUGGGUUCAACCUUGGGUUUCUUCACUAGAGCAGCAGCUGAUUUGCCAUUUCAUGAAGUAUCCCUUGCCCUUGCCCCUUUUGAAACUAGUGGUUUCACCAACCAUCAACAAUUGAUGCUCCUUCUUGAUUUCUACUUUCGCGGUGUCAAACAUCGUGAAUACUUCAAGGAUCAUCAUAUCUAUCCCUGAUAUGUUAUAGUUCAUCACGAAGCUCUAGCAGCUUGGUGGCAAUGACUUUUGAGAAACAUCACUAUCUCUGGAAGAUCAACUCCCACUCGAUUCAAGUGAUUGUCGCACUCAGACAAUCUGAGCACAAGCUCAACGAUUGAGCUUUUCUCCCUUAGUUUGCAGGCUAGAAAAAUCGUCGGAGGUCUCAUACCUCUUGAUGUGGGCACGAGCCUGAAAUCCCAAUUUCAGCCCUCGAAACAUCUCAUAUGUUCCGCGACGUUUCGAAAACGUCUUUGGUGCCUCAACUCUAAAUCGUUUAACUGAACUAUCACGUAGUUAUCAAAACGUGUAUGUCCGAUGUUCGCAACAUCCACAGACGACGUUUGGGGUUCAGCACACUGAGCGGUGCAUUAAGGACAUAAGCUUUCUAUUGUUCGCAUAAUCGCUACUGUCAACUUUCAACUAUAUUUUCUCUAGGAACAUAUCUAAACAGUGGAACUAAAGCGCUAGCUUACGACAUAAUUUGCAAAGAUCUUUUGACUAUGUUCAGGAUAAUUAAGUUCAUCUUAUGAACUCCCACUCAGAUAGACAUCCCUCUAGUUAUCUAAGUGAUUACAUGAUCCGAGUCAACUAGGCCGUGUCCGAUCAUCACGUGAGACGGACUAGUCAUCAUCGGUGAACAUCUUCAUGUUGAUCAUAUCUACUAUACGACUCAUGCUCGACCUUUUGGUCUCUUGUGUUCCGAGGCAAUGUGUGUACAUGCUAGGCUCGUCAAGUCAACCUAAGUGUUCCGCGUGUGUAAAUCUGUCUUACACCCGUUGUAUGUGAACGUAAGAAUCUAUCACACCCGAUCAUCACGUGGUGCUUCGAAACGACGAACUUUCGCAACGGUGCACAGUUAGGGGGGACACUUUCCUGAAAUUUUAAUGAGGGAUCAUCUUAUCUACUACCGUCGUUCUAAGCAAAUAAGAUGCAUAAACAUGAUAAACAUCACAUGCAAUCAAAUGGUGACAUGAUAUGGCCAAUAUCAUUUUGCUCCUUUUGAUCUCCAUCUUCGGAGCUCCAUGAUCAUCAUCAUCACCGGCAUGACACCAUGAUCUCCAUCAUCAUGAUCUCCAUCAUCGUGUCUCCAUGAAGUUGUCUCGCCAACUUAUUACUUCUACUACUAUGGCUACCGGUUAGCAAUAAAGUAAAGUAAUUACAUGACGUUGUUCAAUGACACGCAGGUCAUUCAAUAAAUAAAGACAACUCCUAUGGCUCCUGUCGGUUGUCAUACUCAUUGACAUGCAAGUAGUGAUUCCUAUUACAAGAACAUGAUCAAUCUCAUACAUCACAUAUCAUUCAUCACAUUCUUCUUGGCCAUAUCACAUCACAAAGCGUACCCUGCAAAAACAAGUUAGACGUCCUCUAAUUAUUGUUUGCAUGUUUUACGUGGCUGCUAUGGGUUUCUAGCAAGAACGUUUCUUACCUACGCAAAAGCCACAACGUGAUAUGCCAAUUGCUAUUUACCCUUCAUAAGGACCCUUUACAUCGAAUCCGAUCCGACUAAAGUGGGAGAGACUGGCACCCGCUAGCCACCUUAUGCAACAAGUGCAUGUCAGUCGGUGGAACUUGUCUCACGUAAGAGUACGUGUAAGGUCGGUUCGGGCCGCUUCAUCCCACGAUGCCGCCGAAUCAAGAUUGGACUAGUAACAGUAAGCAUAUUGAACAAAAUCAAAGCCCACAACUACUUUUUGUUCUACUCGUGCAAAGAAUCUACGCAAUAGACCUAGCUCAUGAUGCCACUGUUGGGGAACGUAGCAGAAAUCCAAAAUUUUCCUACGUGUCACCAAGAUCUAUCUAUGGAGAAACCAGCAACGAGGGGAAGGAGAGUGCAUCUACAUACCCUUGUAGAUCGCUAAGCGGAAGCAUUCAAGAGAACGGGGUUGAAGGAGUCGUACUCGUCGUGAUCCAAAUCACCGGAGAUCCUAGUGCCGAACGGAUGGCACCUCCGCGUUCAACACACGUACAGCCCGGUGACGUCUCCCAUGCCUUGAUCCAGCAAGGAGAGAGGGAGAGGUUGAGGAAGACUCCAUCCAACAGCAGCACAACAGCGUGGUGGUGAUGGAGGAGCGUGGCAAUCCUGCAGGGCUUCACCAAGCACCGCGGGAGAGGAGGAGUACUUGGGAGAGGGGGAGGGCUGCGCCAGAACUUGUGGUGCGGCUGCCCUCCCACCCCCCACAUAUAUAUAGGGGCAAAAGAAAGGGGGGCCGGCCCCCUCAGAUCCAAUCUGAGGAGGGGGCGGCGGCCAAGGGGGGGAGGAGUGCCUCCCAAGUCAAGUGGAGGCCCUCCCCCUUAGGGUUUUCCCCUUCCCAUGCACAUGGGCCUUGGGGGGGCUGGUUCCCCUGGCCCAUUAAGGCUAGGGAGCCCCCUUACAGCCCAUGCUGCUGUAUUGUACGUGGUGGAACAAUUUCUGGACCUCCGGACCCCUCCGGAAUCCUCCGGAACCUUCUGGAAGCUUCCCGGUACAAUACCGGAAAAACCCGAACUUUUCCCGGAACCCGAACAACAACUUUCCAUAUAUAAAUCUUUACCUCCGGACCAUUCCGGAACUCCUCGUGACGUCCGGGAUCUCAUCCGGGACUCCGAACAACAUUCGGUAACCACAUACAAACUUCCUUUAUAACCCUAGCGUCAUCGAACCUUAAGUGUGUAGACCCUACGGGUUCGGGAGACAUGUAGACAUGACCGAGACGUUCUUCGGUCAAUAACCAACAGCGGGAUCUGGAUACCCAUGUUGGCUCCCACAUGUUCCAUGAUGAUCUCAUCGGAUGAACCACGAUGUCAAGGACUCAAUUGAUCCCGUAUACAAUUCCCUUUGUCUAACGGUAUUGUACUUGCCCGAGAUUCGAUCGUCAGUAUGUCGAUACCUAGUUCAAUCUCGUUACCGGCAAGUCUCUUUACUCGUUCCGCAACACAUCAUCCCGUGAUCAACCCUUUGAUCACAUUGUGCACAUUAUGAUGAUGUCCUACCGAGUGGGCCUAGAGAUACCUCUCCGUUUACAUGGAGUGACAAAUCCCAGUCUCGAUUCGUGCCAACCCAACAGACAUUUCCGGAGAUACCUGUAGUGCACCUUUAUAGCCACCCAGUUACGUUGUGACAUUUGGUACACCCAAAGGAUUCCUACUGUAUCCGGGAGUUGCACAAUCUCGUGGUCUAAGGAAAUGAUACUUGACAUUAGAAAAGCUUUAGCAUACAAACUACGAUCUUUGUGCUAGGCUUAGGAUUGGGUCUUGUCCAUCACAUCAUUCUCCCAAUGAUGUAAUCCCGUUAUCAAUGACAUCCAAUGUCCAUGGUUAGGAAACCGUAACCAUCUAUUGAUCAACGAGCUAGUCAACUAGAGGCUUACUAGGGACAUGGUGCUGUCUAUGUAUCCACACAUGUAUCUGAGUUUCCUAUCAAUACAAUUAUAGCAUGAAUAAUAAACGAUUAUCAUGAACAAGGAAAUAUAAUAAUAACUAAUUUAUUAUUGCCUCUAGGGCAUAUUUCCAACACUAUGCACACGAGGUGUUUGAUGGAAUGCCUGAGCCACACUACUUAAGCUUUCUCCUCUCCAAGCUCGACCUCCAAGCUCCAUUUUCCUCAAUAUUUGUCUAGGUUUAGCGGUCCGUCACGUCCCGUCCCCGUCUUCACCGCCGUCGAUCGCCCGCGCCGAUCUCGUCGCCGGCACCACCGUGGUGAGCCUCUUGUUCUUAUCUUCUUUCUGAAAGGAAAAAAAUUCUUACUUGUAUGUUUAUAUAGAUACUUGUAUAAUUUUCUUACUUUUAUUAUUGCAUCUUAUAUAGUGCGAUGGUUUUGGUAUCCGCCCCCGUCAGCCCUCGUCCUGUCUAUGAUUCGGAUGUGGUAUAUAUUAUCUUUUCAUAACUAUUGGUUCAUUUAUUGUUUAUGACAAUUAUGCCGACCAAUGUGACAUAGAUUUUAUUUAUCUAGGAGGUUGUUGAACCGGAAAUUCCAACCGACCCUAUUGUCGAGAGGUUAAAUUUAGUUGAAGAAGAAAACAAUUUGUUGAAGGAAAAACUUAGAAAAAUUGAGGAGGAGAAGAUGAUAUUGGAGUUGCAUGUUGCGGAUGUCGUCGAUGAUCAAAAGAUCAAGAUGGAUGCAAUGCGCUUGAAGAUUAGAAAGAUUAGAAAAUAUGCCAUUCAUACCGAGGCUUGGUAUCAUUAUGUCGUUGGAUCAGUUGUUACAUUGGUUGCGAUUAUGAUCGCAUUUGUCUUCGCAUUGAAAUGUUUUACAUAAUUUCAAUUCAUGGUUUAAUUAAUUUAGAUGCUCUGCAGAGCUUUAUGUUGUUAGAUGAGAACUAUGUAUGUACUUUGGUUUUAAUGUGAUGAUGAACUUCUAUUAAUUUGGUCACUUAAUUAUCUAUUCAUGAUGUUCUGUAAUGAUUUUUGAUGCACUUAAUUAUAUAUAAUGCACGCAGAUGAACCGACAAUGGAUGUACGGUUCAAGACACACCUCCAAGUACAUUAAGGGCAUGCAUGAUUUUCUCGAAGUGGCUGAGGCAAACAAGCAGAAUGGUUUUAUGUGUUGUCCAUGCCCUAUAUGUGGGAAUACGAAGUCUUACUCUGACCGGAAAAUCCUCCACACCCACCUGCUUUACAAGGGUUUCAUGCCACACUAUAAUGUUUGGACGAGGCAGGAAGAAAUAGGGGUUAUGAUGGAAGACGGCGAAGAAGAAGAGUACGAUGACAACUAUGUGCCCCCUGAAUAUGGUGAUGCUACUGAACAUCAAGAGGAACCAGACGAUGUGCACGAUGAUGCUGCAACGGGCGAAGCUGCUGAAGAUCAAGAGGAACCAGACGAUGUGCCCGAUGAUGAUGAUCUCCGCCGGGUCAUUGUCGAUGCAAGGACGCAAUGCGAAAGUCAAAAGGAGAAGUUGAAGUUCGAUCGCAUGUUAGAGGACCACAAAAAAGGGUUGUACCCCAAUUGCGAAGAUGGCAACACAAAGCUCGGUACCGUACUGGUAUUGCUGCAGUGGAAGGCAGAGAAUGAUGUGCCUGACAAAGGAUUUGAGAAGCUACUGAAAAUAUUGAAGAAGAAGCUUCCAAAGGAUAACGAAUUGCCCGACAGUACAUACGCAGCAAAGAAGGUCGUAUGCCCUCUAGGAUUGGAGGUGCAGAAGAUACAUGCAUGCCCUAAUGACUGCAUCCUCUACCGCGGUGCGUACAAGGAUCUGAACGCAUGCCCGGUAUGCGGUGCAUUACGGUAUAAGAUCAGACGAGAUGACCCUGGUGAUGUUGACGGCGAGCCCCUCAGGAAGAGGGUUCCUGCGAAGGUGACGUGGUAUGCUCCUAUAAUACCACGGUUGAAACGUCUGUUCAGAAACGGAGAGCAUGCCAAGUUGAUGCGAUGGCACAGUGAGGACCGUAAGAAAGACGAGAAGUUGAGAGCACUCGCUGACGGGUCGCAGUGGAGAAAAAUCGAGAGAAAGUACUGGGAUGAGUUUGCAAGUGAGCCAAGGAACGUAUGGUUUGCUUUAAGCGCGGAUGGCAUUAAUCCUUUCGGGCAGCAGAGCAGCAAUCACAGCACCUGGCCCGUGACUCUAUGUAUGUAUAACCUUCCUCCUUGGAUGUGCAUGAAGCGGAAGUUCAUUAUGAUGCCAGUUCACAUCCAUGGCCCUAAGCAACCCGGCAACGACAUUGAUGUGUACCUAAGGCCAUUAGUUGAAGAACUUUUACAGCUGUGGAAUGGAAACGGUGUAUGUACGUGGGAUGAGCACAAACAGGAGGAAUUUAACCUAAAGGCGUUGCUGUUCGUGACCAUCAACGAUUGGCCCGCUCUUAGUAACCUUUUAGGACAGACAAACAAGGGAUACCACGCAUGCACGCACUGUUUACUUAACACCGAUAGUUUAUACCUGGCAAGCUGCAGGAAGGAUGUGUACCUGGGCCAUCAUUGAUUUCUUCCGACCAACCAUCAAUGUCGAAAGAAAGGCAAGCAUUUCAAAGGCGAGGCAGAUCACCGGAAGAAGCCCGCCAUGCGUACCGGUGAUCACGUACUUGCUAUGGUCAAUGAUUUACACGUAAUCUUUGGAAAGGGUCCCGGCAGACUAGCUGUUCCGAGUGACGCUGGGGGACACGCACCCAUGUGGAAGAAGAAAUCUAUAUGUUGGGACCUACCCUACUGGAAAGACCUAGAGGUCCGCUCUUCGAUCGACGUGAUGCACGUGACGAAGAACCUUUGCGUGAACCUGCUAGGCUUCUUGGGCGUGUAUGGGAAGACAAAAGAUACAACUGAGGCACGGGAGGACCUACAACAUUUGCACGAAAAAGACGGCAUGCCUCCAAAGCAGUAUGAAGGUCCUGCCAGCUAUGCUCUUACCAAAGAAGAGAAGGAAAUCUUCUUUGAAUGCCUGCUUAGUAUGAAGAUCCCGACUGGCUUCUCGUCGAAUAUAAAAGGAAUAAUAAAUAUGUUAGAGAAAAAGUUUCAGAACCUAAAGUCUCAUGACUGCCACGUGAUUAUGACGCAACUGCUUCCGGUUGCAUUGAGGGGGCUUCUACUGGAAAACGUCCGAUUAGCCAUUGUGAAGCUAUCUUCAUUCCUCAAUACAAUCUCUCAGAAGGUGAUCGAUCCAGAAAUCAUACCAAGGCUAAGGAGUGAUGUGGUGCAAUGUCUUGUCAGUUUCGAGCUGGUGUUCCCACCAUCCUUCUUCAAUGUCAUGACGCACGUCCUAGUUCAUCUAGUUGACGAGAUUGUCAUUCUGGGCCUCGUAUUUCUACACAAUAUGUACCCCUUUGAGAGGUUCAUGGGAGUCCUAAAGAAAUAUGUCCGUAACCGCGCUAGUCCAGAAGGAAGCAUCUCCAUGGGCCAUUAAACAGAGGAUGUCAUCGGGUUUUGUGUUGACUUCAUUCCUGGCCUUAAGAAGAUAGGUCUCCCUAAAUCACGGUAUGAGGGGAGACUGACUGGAAAAGGCACGCUUGGAAGGGAAUCAAUAAUAUGCAGGGACGGAUAUUCUUGGUCUCAAGCACACUACACAAUUCUACAGAACUCUACCUUGGUGACCCCGUAUGUCGAUGAACACAAUAACAGACUGCGCUCCAAACACCUGGAGCAGUGCGACGACUGGAUUACAUGUGAACACAUCAGGACUUUCAGCAGUUGGUUGGAAGCACAUAUCAGAGGUGACAACACUAUUUGUGAUGAGCUGUACUUGUUGUCCAGGGGACCAUCUUUGACUGUAUUGAUUUGGAAAGGAUACAAGAUAAACGGGAAUACAUUUUACACGAUUGACCAAGAUCAAAAGAGCACCAACCAAAACAGCGGUGUCCACUUUGAUGCAACAACCGAGAGGGGAAAGGACACACAUUAUGGUUACAUAGUGGACAUAUGGGAACUUGACUACGGACAUGAUUUUAAGGUCCCUUUGUUUAAGUGUAAAUGGCUCAAUCUGUCACGAGGAGGGGUACAGGUAGACCCACAGUACGGAAUGACAACAGUGGAUCUGAAAAAUCUUGGGUACACUGACGAAUCGUUCGUCCUAGCCAAUGAUGUGGCAUAGGUUAUCUAUGUGAAGGACAUGUCUACCAGACCGAGAAAGAGAAAAGAUAAGGAAGCGAAUACAUCAUACGAUGAGCCAAAGCGCCACGUAGUUCUUUCAGGAAAAAGGGACAUCGUGGGAGUGGAGGACAAGACAGACAUGUCUGAAGAUUAUGAAAAGUUUCAUGAAAUUCCUCCCUUCAAAGUCAAGGCUGACCCCAGCAUCCUGAUAAACGAUGAAGAUUAUCCAUGGUUACGGCGCAAUAAGCAAAUGACACAAGCGAAGAAAAAGUGAAGACUUUCUCCCGCAAAUAUUAUGAUGAUACCAUGCCAACUUUGUAACAGACGAGUAUGAUACCAUUAUCCGUUUUGUAUAUGCACAUGCUAUGUGGGUCAAUUUAUGAUACCAUGCCAACUUUCAACUUUUUCAGAGUUCAUUUGAAAUGCUUUAAUGUCUUAUGGUUCGGCCCUCGUAAUAAUUAAAAAUAGCAACAAUAAGUAUUUUGUUGUAAGUAGAAACAAAAUAAAAUAAAUAAAGCAAGAAAGAAAACAAAAAAACAAAAAAAGUGUUUUCAAAUUUGAAAACUAAUGGCACUAACANNNNNNNNNNNNNNNNNNNNNNNNNNNNNNNNNNNNNNNNNNNNNNNNNNNNNNNNNNNNNNNNNNNNNNNNNNNNNNNNNNNNNNNNNNNNNNNNNNNNNNNNNNNNNNNNNNNNNNNNNNNNNNNNNNNNNNNNNNNNNNNNNNNNNNNNNNNNNNNNNNNNNNNNNNNNNNNNNNNNNNNNNNNNNNNNNNNNNNNNNNNNNNNNNNNNNNNNNNNNNNNNNNNNNNNNNNNNNNNNNNNNNNNNNNNNNNNNNNNNNNNNNNNNNNNNNNNNNNNNNNNNNNNNNNNNNNNNNNNNNNNNNNNNNNNNNNNNNNNNNNNNNNNNNNNNNNNNNNNNNNNNNNNNNNNNNNNNNNNNNNNNNNNNNNNNNNNNNNNNNNNNNNNNNNNNNNNNNNNNNNNNNNNNNNNNNNNNNNNNNNNNNNNNNNNNNNNNNNNNNNNNNNNNNNNNNNNNNNNNNNNNNNNNNNNNNNNNNNNNNNNNNNNNNNNNNNNNNNNNNNNNNNNNNNNNNNNNNNNNNNNNNNNNNNNNNNNNNNNNNNNNNNNNNNNNNNNNNNNNNNNNNNCAAGUAGGCCCGAAAGCCUGCGGUGGAGAGGAGCUCGAGAGGGGUGCGGCAGUGGGGCUUAUAAACCACUGCGCGCCCCUCUCAACUAGCGAGGUGGGACUAAACUUUGGCCCCGAGGCGGGCAGCACAGGGGCCUUUGGUCCCGGUUGGUGGCACCAACCGGGACUAAAGGGGGAGGCAUUGGUCCCAGUUGGUGGCACCAACCGGUACUAAAGGCCGCCGGUUCCCGCCCUUUGGGCUGCCGAAAAAGAGGCCUUUGGUCCCAGUUGGUGGCACCAAUCGGGACUAAAGGGUGCAUUAGUCCCGGUUGGUGCCACCAACCGGGACUAAAGGGUUUUCUAUAUAAGCAACACUUAGCAGUUUCUGGCCAAAUCGCCCACUUCUCCCCCGACGCCCCCUGCUCCUCCUCGUCGCCGUCGCCGCCCGACGCCCCUGCUCCACCUUGCCGUCGCCGCCGCCACCGACGCCGUCAGGCUGCUCGCCUGAGCCGUCGCCGCCGCCCCCUGUGAGCAUNNNNNNNNNNNNNNNNNNNNNNNNNNNNNNNNNNNNNNNNNNNNNNNNNNNNNNNNNNNNNNNNNNNNNNNNNNNNNNNNNNNNNNNNNNNNNNNNNNNNNNNNNNNNNNNNNNNNNNNNNNNNNNNNNNNNNNNNNNNNNNNNNNNNNNNNNNNNNNNNNNNNNNNNNNNNNNNNNNNNNNNNNNNGCGCCGCCGCCCCUGCCUUGCGCGGCCGCCGUGCGCCACCCCGCCGCUCCUGCAAUUUCCAUAGCAAUUUUUUGCAUUUUUUUGUGUAUAUGUAUUUGUAUGUGUAUAUAUAUAUGUGUACAUGUUCAUAGUAUUUUUUUCAUAAGUGUAUUUUUUUGUUCAUUGCAUUUUUUUCAUAUAUAUAAUGUAUAUAUGUAUGUGGUAGCUAUAUAUAUGAUGAAUGGAUGUGGCUAUAUAUGUAUGUAUGAAUAUAAUGUUCAUAGCAUUUUUUGUUUAUAUAUGUUUUUUCAUAUAUGUAUUAAUAUUUUAUUUAGGUUGUUAGUAGAUAUCGAUUUUAGGUUAGUGCAUUUUAGGUUAGUGUAGAGGAGAAAGUAAAAUAAGGAAAAGGAAGAAAAGAGGAAGAAGGAAGAAGGAAGAAGAAGAAGAAAAAGAAUGAGAGGAAAAAGGAAAAUAAGAAGAGGAAGAAGAGGAGAGGAAGAAGAGGAGAAAUAAAUAAGAAGAGGAAAAAAGAAGAAAAAGAAGAGGAGAAGAAGAAAGGAAUAGAGGAGAAGAAGAAAAAAUAGAAAUUGUUUUCUAUUUUUUCUUCUUCUCCUCUAUUCCUUUCUUCUUCUCCUCUUUUUUUUUCUUCUUCCUUCUUCCUUCUUCCUCUUUUCUUCCUUUUCCUUAAUUAUUUUCCUUUCUCGUCAUUGUCAUGUCGUUGUCGAUAUAACCCCCUUGAGAUAACUUCGACAUGAGGGGCGGUCGAUAUAUAUACCCCCUCUCGACCGUGAUAACUUAUACAACGGCAGCACCCCCCCUCGGCCCACUCGCUCAACCAAAACUCUCGAGGACACACAAACCCUAGAGAGAAAACGAUGUUGGUCUCCUACCCCCUCCCGCUGCGCCCCUACCCGACAAAUUAACUCUCUCGAGGCCACCCAAAUUUACCAAGUUAAAAGAGCGUUGUCGUCGAGGCCACCCCAAACCCUUGAAGCGUUGUGUCGAGGCGACCCCAAACCCUAGAGAAGCAGCGUCGAGGCCACUAACAUGAUUCCUUAUUGUGACUAGCUAGCUAGUUCUACGUUUGCCACUAAUGUAUAUAUAUAUAUCCAUCUGUACCAUGUUUGAAUAAUAAUUGACAUGUUGUAAAUAUUUGCAGAAACUAUGGAGCACUCCCGAGACGAAGAAACAGAAGCGAUGUUGGGGGACAUAAUCGCAAAUGGAAGUGAUGAAGUUGCAUCAUUUCUCCUCGACAUCGAUGGACAGCUAGAAGAACUGGGUGAAGAAGAGGGCUAUGUUCAUGAUGGCUUCGGCCCAUUAAUGCCGGUACAAGAAGAGGACUAUGUUCAUGAUGGCUCCGGUGACACAAUGGAGGUACAAGAAGGAGACCGUGCUGACUGCUCUGGUGACCGAACCGAGUCAGGCCAGGUAUAUAUAUAUUAGUUAAGCCCGUGCUGACUAGUUAAUUGAUGCUUCCAUUGUUUUGGUAUAUGUACACAUAUUAAUUACUCUCGUCUUUCUUCCUUAUAAUUUCUAGCCCUCCGGAUCGAACACAACUUCGGUAAGGAGACGAGGCCCGAAGAAAAAGUUGAGCUCGGAUGAAAAGUUUGAGAUCAUAGAAAUCACGCCCGACGGCGAACCGAUUGAACCCAUCCGGACAAGGAAGGCAUUUUCUGCUCAGUGCGGGGUUCUUGUUAGGGACAAGAUCCCGAUCAGCAUCCAGCAACGGUAUAAGCCUAAGGAGGAAGACCCUGAGGUGUCUUCUGUCAAUGAUAUGCAGAAAGAAGAUCUUUGGACUGAGCUGAAGGCAAAUUUCACCCUACCGCCAGAGGAGGAUCCAGAGAAGCCAGUUAAAGAGCCAUUAAUCAAGUCUUGUGCUCUUAAGAAGAUGGCAACCCUAAUGAGGAGGUGGAGGAAAGAGCUGAACCAGUUUGUCAAAAAAAAGACACCAGAAUUCAUCGGCAAAUAUGAGAAGAUCAAAGAUCACUGGCCCGCAUUUGUGGCCCACAAGACAUCGGAAAAGAGUAAGAAGAUGUCGGUGACAAACAAGAAAAAUGCUGCAAAGAAGAAGCUUCACCAUCGCACGGGGUUAGGUGGCUACCUCAAAGCGCGGCCUAAGUGGUCCAAGGCUGAGCAUGAUCUGCUCCGGCGCGUCGUACUCCUUCUCCUCCGCCUCGUAAGCAAGCACGAAAGAAGACAGACGCCGCAGCCGCUCCGUCUGCUCCGACGUCUAGCAGCACAACCAGAGGCGGGAGGCAAUACAAAUACGGUCCAUCUCUCAAGCCUCUAGAGAAGUUACCGUAUGAGAGGUCCGAAGAGGAAAAUGAUACGAUUGUGCGGACCCAUGUGAAGGAUUUCUUUGAAGGGGUGAAAGCAAAGAGACAUCCACCUCCGAAGGAGAAGGUAGAUCCGGUGAAAGCAAAGCGCACUAUCGAUGCCCUGAGGAAACCACCAAAGUCUCCGCCGAGAACCAACUAUGAGCGCAUUACUGAACAGACAUAUCUCCAAGCCCAGCGGUAGGGAACUACUGUCAGUGAUAAAAGGUUAAAAGAACGAGCAAAGGGGAAAAAAUUGCCCAGCUCGGCGAACAAGCACAGCAAUCAUGCCCCCCGCUCAAUGUGUCUAAUGCUUCGGGGACGGUGGCCGGUUAUGAAAAUCUUGAAGAUUACCUGCCUGACGAUGCACUUCCUGAUUUCAUGGCGGUGGACGAACACAGAUACGAGUACGGAAAGCCUCUCGUCAAAGAUGAAAAAUCUCUGACAACAAUGAUGCGAAGAUUCCAUAGUUGGUACAUGAAAACCUGCAGAGAGUCUGAGGCGACGAACAGUUUGUAUCUGAACAUUAAAGAGGAGCACGACCUCGUUUCAAAUGAUCUGUUGUGUGUUCCAUUUGAUGAGUUCUUUCUUCAAUCAAAAGGCCCUCGAUAAAUUAAUGGUCUUUUGCUACUGCCUGUAAGUACUAUUUCUGUCAUUAAGUCUCUAUAUAUAGCUCUGCUCUUUCAUUGCAUGUAUUUAUAAUUAAUUAUCCUCAAUAUAUUAUGCAGAUUGAAGAUCGUCGAGUGCAAAAAACAAGAAAUUUAUGAUAUUGGGUUCAUUAACACAAAUAUCAUAGAUGUAUUUCUGGUUGAAAAGAACGUCAAAGAGGCCGAGGACAACUUGCUACGAUCGUUGAUCAAAAAUCAAAACAAAGAUAACAUACUCUUUCCUUACAACGGCAAGUGAGUGUUACUGUCGUGUAAAUAUUCGGUUUCCCUUAUUACUCGAGCGAGGUUAUAGUAAUGUAAUUGAUGAGUUAUGCAUGCGUGCGCAGGUACCACUAUAUUCUUCUGGAGAUUAAGCUUGAGCGGGGACUAGUAACCGUCUUAGACUCGAGAUGUAAAGAUCCCGAAACCUAUGCGGACAUGACUGAAAUGCUCAGCAAGUAAGUUCAAUCGAUCAUUAUCGCACCAUAUCGGCAACUUUUUGUUCAUUUCCUGAUAUCUCAAGUAAUAAUAAUUAUUUUCUUUGUCUUGCAGGGUUUGGAAACAGUUCACCGCAGAAGCUCCGGGACUGCCGAAGGAGCUGCGAUAUACAUACCCGAAAGUAAGUACUACUGGGCUAGCUAGUUGCGCGCAUCUCCCGUUGAUUCUAUAGCUAUACUUUCAUCAAUGCCAUUUAUAAUGCUUCAUUAUUAGUUUGAUUGACCUCUAUUUCUCGUAAAAUGCUUGUGGCAGGAGGAAGGGAAUGAUUUCUGUGAAUACUACGUGUGUGAGUUCAUCCACACUACGACUUUGAAAAACAAACGGGGCUAUUCUAAAAGACAAUAUGAAGUGCAUAAGCAAUAAUAUUCACAAUUUCAUUUUAUUACACCAUCAUUUCUGUUGAGUUUCAUUCAUAUAUGUAUUAAUUAACCCCUUUCUUCAAAUUAGACGUGGCAGAUGCGGAAUGAACUCCUAGAACCAGAUCGCAUGAAAGCAAUUCAAUAGGAAUUAGCGGGAUUCUUUCUUGACCACGUCAUCAGUAAAGCCGGAGAAUACCAUGUGGAAAUUGAUUUCAAAUGCUAGGGGUUUGUAAUUAAGAGAUCUUAUACAUAUUGUACAUGUGUGUAGCCAGUAGCGUCGGAUACAUGAUACGAAAACUUGUUGUUCGACCAAUCUCUCAGAGAAGGAGAGGUCGAUCGAUCACUUCUCUUGGUAUGCAUGACGAACUUCUGUACUGAAUGGUUCUCUCGAUCACUUAUGUAUAUAUAGUAUGUAGCGUCGAUCAAGCAUGGACAUAAGAGAGGACACUUCUCUCUAUUAAUUAGCUAGCUAACACAAUAUAUGAAACACCUAAAUUAACCCCCCAAAACACCCAACCCCCCUCCUUUCAAAAAAAAUAAAAACCCCAGCCACUGGAAUGCUGACGCGUGGAUGCAUUUUGGUCCCGGUUGAAGCCACCAACCGGGACCAAAGGCCCCCUGACUGGGCUCGGCGCACAGGGCCACGUGGAGGCAUAUUGGUCCCGGUUCGUGUUUGAACCGGGACUAAUGGGUGGAGGUAUUAGUAACGACCCAUUAGUCCCGGUACAUGAACCGGGACUAAAGGCCCUUACGAACCGGGACUAUUAGGUGUUUUUCUACUAGUGUAUGUAGUCCACCAUCUCCGGAUCAGAGACGGGACGGCCAGUAGCAGCUAGUUCAUCCCCGAGACUCUUCAUCUUCGCCAUGUAUGCUGAACUGGACAUGGUGCCUUUUUUGGUGUUGGUGAUCGCAAUCCUCAGAUUGGUAAUCCGAGACUGCGAUUGUGAGGCGAAGAGGUUGUUGAUUGUUGUCCAGAGCUUGAAGGUGGAGUCCCUCCCGACGACCUGUGCAAGGAUCUCAGGAGACAUGGAGUUGAGCAGAUAUGACAUAACCUGUUGAUCUUUGGCGAUCCAAGGUCCAUACAAAGGAUUCGGCUCUUGGGCCGUAGUUUUGUCCGCCUUUGGGACCUCCACCAUCUUCGGCGGAGCGGUGUCAGAGUGGUCCAGCAGCCCGGUAACCUGCGCACCUCGCAGGGCUGGGAGAACCUGCGUCUUCCAGAGGAUGAAGUUUCCUCUCGCAAGUUUUUCCGACGGAGGCGAACCAAGGUUCAGGGCAACGCCGACUGAGGAAGCCAUGACGGCGAUCGCGGAUAUGAUCUAGGGUUUUGUUUUCUGGUUUGUGGCUAGAUGUAUGGAAGAGGGGCUCUGAUGACCAUGUAAAGUUAUGAAGCGUUCCUACUCCCAUCGAGGGGAGCCGCAGCUGUAUAUAUUGAUGUGGGCAGGCGAUGCCUUGGUUUACAAGAUAGAGUUACAAGAGUUUGAAAGGGAUACAAGAAAGGAAGAGGUUGAGAUUACAUAAACUCUAACACACAGAUAUUUUAGCCUCUAUUGGGAUCAGAUAUAGCCAAUAACUGAUAUUCUAGCCUCUGUUUGUGAUGUUGGUUUCGUCUAAUAAUGUUGUGAUGAUUCAAAUUUGGCGAUCUCCACAACAGUGAAACUAAUUUUUAUUGCUCGAGUCAUACAAAGUCGCAGAUAUCAAUUUGAUGGCUUUUCCAUGUCCUGCAGGUAUCAGAGUUACGUUUCGGUGGCUGAGAUGAAGAAGUGGCUCGUUUGAUGCGAUGCACACGGAAAUUUACCCCUUAUGUAGAAUGCAGUGGUCAGAUGUGAAGUGGAUUCGUAGGAACUAAUCACUUAUUUUGCUCAAACCCGUCUUGUUAUCGAACGCAGUCAAUUGGCCAACUUACAUGGAGACAUAAGAAUUGCUUGUAUUAAUCAGUACCUUCCAGUUGAUCUUUGCUUGCAUGCAUUCUGUGUGUGUUCAUAUUUUUACUGUUUUGUUUUGCUUGUUGUUCCACGUUGUAUCUGACGGAGAGGAUUCGGCAUCAAAUUUCUGCUCCUGUCCCAUUUUGCGUGUUUGUUUUUUAUCUGUUUUCUGACUGAUCAAUGUUGAGUUGCUUGCUUUCGCUGGAUUCAGGAAGGUUUGUGUGAGAUUGCUAAUGUUUUAACCUGUUAUGAUAUAAACAUGCCACUUUGAGAUCUGCAAAACUUCACACAAGUGAUGCGCGGACGCGCGGAAACACAUUUUAUUGAUUUGUUUGGCAAUCACAGCCGUUCAACAUGAUACGACCCCAUGAUCCACUGGCCAUUCAGCUCCUUAUUUGGCAGGUUGCUGCUGGGCGUUAAACCAGGCCCCACCUCCUGUGGCACUCGUGCUUACAAGCCGCAGCGCCUUCUGCAUCUGCAAAAUGGCCAACGCGAGCACAAGAUCAUCAGCUAGAACAGACGAUUCUUCUUUGUGUCAACAGAAAAAGGAGAGACCAUGUAUAUUGCAUCGAUGUUGAGGAGAAUUCAUCCAUAAACGGAGCAGAAAUGCAAUGCAAGUAAGGUGACCCGUCGUCAUCUUACCGGUGGGCGCCGCCGACGGGCCGCAGACGGAGUCGGUGCUGCAGACCCAGAGGCAGGCGGCGCGGCUCUCCUCGGGGUAGCCUUCUUCCUUGCAUUUCUGGAUGCAGUCGACUUUGCAGAUCCAUCCGCUGCGGCUGCACCCGUCGUGGCAGGGCUGGUAGCACUCGCAGAAGGUCUCGGCGGCCGCCCGCUGCUGGGGCGGCACUGACAUGACGAGGAGCACGCACAGUGCGGCAAUGGCGGCCGCCCUCUUCUUCACCUCCAUGAUCUCCUUUCCUUGGACGUGCAAGCUAUGAGAAGGGUGGAGUGUGAAGUUGUGGCGGAC